AGCGCCACCGGAUCUACGCCUCGCGUGACGAUGAGGUAGUCGCGUAUUGCGAUGCUGUGCCGCGCCUC
This 68-nucleotide small RNA is filed under the name Mycolicibacterium rhodesiae. RNAcentral's name for it is "ASdes TB sRNA". It matches the Rfam family "ASdes TB sRNA". Lineage: Bacteria; Bacillati; Actinomycetota; Actinomycetes; Mycobacteriales; Mycobacteriaceae. The record is from RNAcentral. RNAcentral also lists the same sequence under 1 other name.